Molecule: ribosomal RNA, 450 nt
Filed under: uncultured bacterium
Lineage: Bacteria
Description: partial 16S ribosomal RNA
Rfam family: Bacterial small subunit ribosomal RNA
Source: RNAcentral
GUAGGGAAUCUUCCACAAUGGACGAAAGUCUGAUGGAGCAACGCCGCGUGAGUGAAGAAGGUUUUCGGAUCGUAAAACUCUGUUGUUGAAGAAGAACACGUUUGAGAGUAACUGUUCAGACGUUGACGGUAUUCAACCAGAAAGCCACGGCUAACUACGUGCCAGCAGCCGCGGUAAUACGUAGGUGGCAAGCGUUGUCCGGAUUUAUUGGGCGUAAAGGGAACGCAGGCGGUUUUUUAAGUCUGAUGUGAAAGCCUUCGGCUUAACCGAAGAAUAGCAUUGGAAACUGGAAGACUUGAGUGCAGAAGAGGAGAGUGGAAUUCCAUGUGUAGCGGUGAAAUGCGUAGAUAUAUGGAGGAACACCAGUGGCGAAAGCGGCUCUCUGGUCUGUAACUGACGCUGAGGUUCGAAAGCGUGGGUAGCAAACAGGAUUAGAUACCCGAGUAGUCC